This 654-nucleotide long non-coding RNA is filed under the name Cicer arietinum (chickpea). RNAcentral describes it as "long non-coding RNA (CARI_LNC003190)". Lineage: Eukaryota; Viridiplantae; Streptophyta; Magnoliopsida; Fabales; Fabaceae. The record is from RNAcentral.
UUUACAAAUCUCCUCCUCCUCCUUAUAAGUACCCUUCUCCUCCACCUCCACCGUAUAAAUAUCCAUCUCCACCACCACCAGUUUAUAAGUACAAAUCACCUCCUCCACCAGUGUAUAAAUACAAAUCUCCUCCACCUCCACCUAAAAAGCCAUAUAAGUAUCCAUCUCCACCUCCCCCUGUUUAUAAAUACAAAUCUCCACCACCACCAGUUUACAAGUACAAAUCACCUCCUCCACCAGUGUAUAAGUACAAAUCUCCUCCACCUCCACCUAAAAAGCCAUAUAAGUAUCCAUCUCCACCUCCCCCCGUUUACAAAUACAAAUCUCCACCACCACCGGUGUACAAAUCUCCACCUCCUCCCGUUUACAAAUACAAGUCACCACCACCCCCAGUGUACAAAUACAAAUCUCCACCUCCCCCCGUUUACAAAUACAAGUCACCACCACCCCCAGUGUACAAGUACAAAUCUCCACCACCACCAGUGUAUAAAUCUCCACCACCACCCUACAAGCAUAUAUCUCCACCACCAACGCCCAAGAAACCAUACAAGUACCCAUCACCACCACCACCAGUUUAUAAAUACAAAUCUCCACCACCACCAUACAAGUACCCAUCCCCACCACCACCUCCGUACAAAUAUCCAUCACCACCAC